RNAcentral lists this unclassified non-coding RNA (391 nucleotides) under Hevea brasiliensis (rubber tree). The record is from RNAcentral. Lineage: Eukaryota; Viridiplantae; Streptophyta; Magnoliopsida; Malpighiales; Euphorbiaceae.
ACUUUGUAAGCAAAAAUGGCGACUUUUUUCCCUUCUCUUGGACCCAACUCAAUAUUAUCUCCAUUUGUAGACCGAACAAGAACCCUAAACCCAGUUUUCCAGCGAACCCACUUUGGAAAUCUUCCACUUAACAAACCCUUUUCAAGGGGUAUGCUUGGAGUAGCUCGAUUCGGGUUGGGGCAGGAUCCAUUUCCUGACCCGGAAACUGCAGAGUUGUUUUUCAAGGAUUUGCUUACUCGGACUGAAGGGUUUUUGUAUACAGUUGCUGAUGCUGCUGUUUCAGGUUCUGUUGAUACUGUUGUUGACACCACUGAAAGUGUUAAACAAAAUAGUGAUUGGCUUUCUGGUAUUACUAAUGGAAUGGAGACUGUUUUGAAGGUUCUGAAGGAUG